This 497-nucleotide ribosomal RNA is filed under the name uncultured bacterium. Its description in RNAcentral is "partial 16S ribosomal RNA". It matches the Rfam family "Bacterial small subunit ribosomal RNA", at positions 28 to 507 of the family's 1533-position model. The record is from RNAcentral.
GAUGAACGCUAGCGGCGUGCCUAAUACAUGCAAGUCGAGCGAACAGACGAGGAGCUUGCUCCUCUGACGUUAGCGGCGGACGGGUGAGUAACACGUGGAUAACCUACCUAUAAGACUGGGAUAACUUCGGGAAACCGGAGCUAAUACCGGAUAAUAUAUUGAACCGCAUGGUUCAAUAGUGAAAGACGGUUUUGCUGUCACUUAUAGCUGGAUCCGCGCCGCAUUAGCUAGUUGGUAAGGUAACGGCUUACCAAGGCAACGAUGCGUAGCCGACCUGAGAGGGUGAUCGGCCACACUGGAACUGAGACACGGUCCAGACUCCUACGGGAGGCAGCAGUAGGGAAUCUUCCGCAAUGGGCGAAAGCCUGACGGAGCAACGCCGCGUGAGUGAUGAAGGUCUUCGGAUCGUAAAACUCUGUUAUUAGGGAAGAACAAAUGUGUAAGUAACUAUGCACGUCUUGACGGUACCUAAUCAGAAAGCCACGGCUAACUACGUG